AUUGAACGCUGGCGGCUUGCUUAACACAUGCAAGUCGACCGACAGAACGGGAUCCUGCCUGUCUGCAGGUGGCGGCCGGGUGGGUAAUUACACGGUGCAUACCCAACUAUUAGGCUUGGGAAAACUCCGGCAAGCCGAAUCAAUCACCGGAAGUAAGUUUGAACGCGUGGGUCAAUAAGGGAACGCGGUUUUGGCGUCACCUAUAUAUGGGUCCCCCGCUGCAUUAGCUAGUUGGUACGGUAAUGGCUUACCAAGGCAACGAUGCGUAGCCGACCUGAGAGGGUGAUCGGCCACACUGGAACUGAGACACGGCCCAGACUCCUACGGGAGGCAGCAGUAGGGAAUCUUGCGCAAUGGGCGAAAGCCUGACGGAGCAACGCCGCGUGAGUGAUGAAGGUCUUCGGAUCGUAAAACUCUGUUAUUAGGGAAGAACACAUGUGUAAGUAACUCUGCACGGCUUGACGGUACCUAAUCAGAAAGCAACGGCUAACUACGUG
This 497-nucleotide ribosomal RNA is filed under the name uncultured bacterium. Its description in RNAcentral is "partial 16S ribosomal RNA". It matches the Rfam family "Bacterial small subunit ribosomal RNA", at positions 30 to 507 of the family's 1533-position model. The record is from RNAcentral.